RNAcentral lists this ribosomal RNA (468 nucleotides) under uncultured bacterium. RNAcentral's name for it is "partial 16S ribosomal RNA". It matches the Rfam family "Bacterial small subunit ribosomal RNA", at positions 28 to 507 of the family's 1533-position model. The record is from RNAcentral.
GACGAACGCUGGCGGCGUGCCUAACACAUGCAAGUCGAACGGAAAGGCCCUGCCUUUGUGGGGUGCUCGAGUGGCGAACGGGUGAGUAACACGUGAGUAACCUGCCCUUGACUUUGGGAUAACUUCAGGACACUGGGGCUAAUACCGGCUAGGAGCUCCUGCUGCAUGGUGGGGGUUGGAAAGUUUCGGCGGUUGGGGAUGGACUCGCGGCUUAUCAGCUUGUUGGUGGGGUAGUGGCUUACCAAGGCUUUGACGGGUAGCCGGCCUGAUAGGGUGACCGGCCACAUUAGGAUGGGAAUGCGGCCCAGACUCCAACGGUAGGGAACGGUGGAGAAUAGUGCACAAUGGGCUGAGGCCUGAUGCAACAACGCCGCGUGGGGGAUGAGGGCCUUCGGGUUGUGUUCCAAUUUCGCUUGUGACGAGGCGUGAAUGACGGUAAUGGGUAAAGAAGCACCGGCUAACUACGUG